This 866-nucleotide ribosomal RNA is filed under the name uncultured archaeon. Its description in RNAcentral is "bacterial SSU rRNA". It matches the Rfam family "Archaeal small subunit ribosomal RNA", at positions 5 to 879 of the family's 1478-position model. The record is from RNAcentral.
CGGUUGAUCCUGCCGGAGGCUAUUGCUAUCAGGGUUUGACUAAGCCAUGCGAGUCGAGAGGUGAAAGACCUCGGCAUACUGCUCAGUAACACGUGGAUAAUCUGCCCUCAGGUGAGGAAUAAUCCCGGGAAACUGGGGCUAAUCCCUCAUAGGAGACGGGUGCUGGAAUGCUCUGUCUCUGAAAGGUCCGCCGCCUGAGGAUGAGUCUGCGUCCGAUUAGGUUGUUGUUGGGGUAACGGCCCACCAAGCCAUUGAUCGGUACGGGUUGUGAGAGCAAGAGCCCGGAGAUGGAUUCUGAGACAUGAAUCCAGGCCCUACGGGGCGCAGCAGGCGCGAAAACUUUACAAUGCGAGCAAUCGUGAUAAGGAAACCCUGAGUGCCUGUCAAUGCAGGCUGUUCUGGUGUUUAGUCAGCACCAGGAGAAAGGGCGGGGCAAGACCGGUGCCAGCCGCCGCGGUAAUACCGGCUGCUCGAGUGAUAGCCACUUUUACUGGGCUUAAAGCGUUCGUAGCUUGGUCGUUAAGUCUCUGGGGAAAUCUUUUGGCUCAACCAAAAGACGUCUCAGAGAAACUGGCGACCUUGGGACCGGGAGAGGUAAGACGUACUUCGGGGGUAGGAGUGAAAUCUUGUAAUCCCCGAGGGACGACCGAUGGCGAAGGCAUCUUACCAGAACGGCUCCGACAGUGAGGGACGAAAGCUGGGGGAGCAAACCGGAUUAGAUACCCGGGUAGUCCCAGCCGUAAACGAUGUGCGUUAGGUGUGUCAGUGACCACGAGUCACUGAGGUGCCGAAGGGAAACCGUGAAACGCACCGCCUGGGAAGUACGGUCGCAAGGCUGAAACUUAAAGGAAUUGGCGGGGGAGCAC